AUUUCCAUGGGUUUAUUUCUAGGCAUCUUCUGGGAUAUCAAGCAUAUCUGGGUCAUAUGCGAAUGGUCUUAUAAAAUGUUCUUUUAUAAAAGAUGAAACUGUACAACCAGAAAAAGGGUUUACUUUAAGUGAGGAAUAUCAUUUAAUGUUUGCAGAAGGAGAAGCAAUAGACGGUUCCUUGCUACCCCAUAGCUUCGAUGUAUUACCACUAGUAACAAACAACAAAGUUAAUCUUCGUUUAAUUGGUAAUGUAGGCGGAGAUAAACCAACAUUUCCUUUGGUCAAAACACAUGGUGUACUGAUGACAUUAAGCUGGCUGGCUCUCAGUAGUAUCGGCAUGAUCAUGUCUAGAUAUGGUAAACCUCUUUGGCCGAACACAAGCCCGUUUGGAAUAAAAAUAUGGUUUCAUAUUCACAGAACCAGUAUGGUAUUAACUGUGGGAUUAACUAUUCUAGCUUUACUGUUUAUAUUAAUAGAAGCUCAAGGUUUUAGUCAGAUACCAGAACAACCAGGUAAAAUGUAUAGACAGAUACAUCCAGUGAUUGGUUUUAUGAUAGUUAUAUUAACACUAGCCAAUCCUAUUAUGGCAUUAUUCAGACCUACCGGCGAAUCUUCCAGUAGAUAUAUAUUUAAUUGGUGUCACCGAGGAGUUGGUGUCACUGCUUUUAUAAUGGCAGUGGUGGCCGUCUUUAUAGGUUUUGAUUUAGGAAAGAGCGGAGCACCCGCUUCAGUUUUUCCAAUUUUGAUUAUUUAUAUUAUCUACCAUAUAAUAUUCAUAGUUGUCAUGGAGCUUUUACCCUUUAUAAUCAAGAAAAGACAAGGUCAAAAACAAGAAUACAAUAUGAAUGAUUUGAACUUAACCGGAUCUAAUGGAAGUGCUAAGUCUUUAGAAAACGAGAAAAAGGAGAAAUUGAACGAGGAAUAUAAAUACCGAAUGAUGUUGUUAAUAGUUCAUUUUAUUGUCGUUACUUUAUUAUCUCUAAUACUGAUUAUACUGUUGUUAGUUGGGUGAAAUGUUAUUGAAUUGUAACAAAUGCAUACCUGGAAGAAAUUUUAUUAAAUGUUACAACGACAGCUGAGUGUAACUCCCUUACAUCAUAUUGUAAACAAACCCACGGCUGGUUAGAACUGUAAUAAAUUAUUAAUAAAUAUGUAUAUAUUUGGCGGAA
Long non-coding RNA from Patella vulgata (common limpet), 1169 nucleotides. RefSeq lists it as uncharacterized. The transcript is spliced from 9 exons. The record is from RefSeq and is a predicted model, not a curated record. Lineage: Eukaryota; Metazoa; Mollusca; Gastropoda; Patellidae.